GAUGAAGAACGUAGCGAAAUGCGAUAAGUAGUGUGAAUUGCAGAAUUCAGUGAAUCAUCGAAUCUUUGAACGCACAUUGCGCCCUUUGGUAUUCCUUAGGGCAUGCCUGUUCGAGCGUCAUUUAAACCCUUCAAGCUCAGCUUGGUGUUGGGUGACUGUCCGCCGCCCCCGGGCGCGGACUCGCCCCAAAUUCCUUGGCGGCCGGUACGUAGGCUUCGAGCGCAGCAGAAACGCGAACUCGGGCCCGCGGUGUCGGCUCCCAGAAGCCAUCUCUUUUAUUUUGACCUCGGAUCAGGUAGGGAUACCCGCUGAACUUAAGCAUAUCAAUAAGCGGAGGA
RNAcentral lists this unclassified non-coding RNA (338 nucleotides) under soil metagenome. Its description in RNAcentral is "partial contains 5.8S ribosomal RNA, internal transcribed spacer 2, and large subunit ribosomal RNA". The stretch from base 1 to 120 matches the Rfam family "5.8S ribosomal RNA", at positions 35 to 154 of the family's 154-position model. The record is from RNAcentral.